RNAcentral lists this ribosomal RNA (468 nucleotides) under uncultured bacterium. RNAcentral describes it as "bacterial SSU rRNA". It matches the Rfam family "Bacterial small subunit ribosomal RNA", at positions 30 to 539 of the family's 1533-position model. The record is from RNAcentral.
UGAACGCUGGCGGUAUGCCUUAUACAUGCAAGUCGAACGGGAGUUUUUAACUCUAGUGGCGGACGGGUGAGUAACACGUAAGAAUUUGCCUUUAGGAGGGGGACAACAACUGGAAACGGUUGCUAAUACCCCAUAUGCUUUCGAGUAAAACGGUUUUCCGCCUAAAGAGAAGCUUGCGGCUGAUUAGCUUGUUGGUAGGGUAAUGGCCUACCAAGGCGACGAUCAGUAUCUGGUUUGAGAGGAUGAUCAGACACACUGGAACUGAGACACGGUCCAGACUCCUACGGGAGGCAGCAGUGGGGAAUUUUCCGCAAUGGGCGAAAGCCUGACGGAGCAAUACCGCGUGAGGGAAGAAAGCCUACUGGGUUGUAAACCUCUUUUUUCAGGGAGGAAAAAAAUGACGUGUACCUGAAGAAUAAGCAUCGGCUAACUCCGUGCCAGCAGCCGCAGUAAUCUGAUGGCGCGAGG